GUUCUCUCGGCCUCUCGGUUCUGGGCGGCCAGUUAGACCCCUGCCUUCUCCGCUGCGGUGGGGAGAGGUACUUGCACUUCUCUCAGUUCCAAGGCAGAAAGGACCUGGGUCACCAUGGGAUAGUCAGUGGAGCCUCAGUUUUCCAUCCGAUUUGUGGAAGAGCAUGGCCUUCGGAGACAGCCUGGACCAAGCUGAGGAAAUACUCAGGUUGGACCAGCCCCUGCUGGUUGCCGGUUGUCACCCAUCCCUGCCUACAGCCUCACUUCCAGCUCUGUCGAGCCCCACUUCUCACCCCCUCUCCCAGGUCUGUCGGUCCCUUUGGGUAGGUAGGUAGGUAGGGCUCGGUCUCCCUCCCUCUGGGAUCGUCCAGCUUGCCCCCUGCACUGCUCGUUGCUCCCCUGUCCCAGUCAGGUCUUUCUCGGGGCGGGGUGUGUGGGGGCGUGGAGAGCAAGGAGUCAGAUCGCCAACAGACUGUGGGAGGAGGGCAAGGACCCGCUCCCUUCGUCGCUUCGAGGAGGGCCGAGCGGACCCAAAGACUUGAGGGCUCAGGGUCUGGGGGCCCGAGGGUCCUGCCGAGGGGGCGGUGGUUGGGUCUGGCCCGCCGACCGGCCAGGGUUAGAGGACAGCUGGGGCCCGGCAGAGCUGGAGGUGGGAGGGGGGCGGAACCUCGCAGUGCUCCCCUCCCCCACUUUCUUAAAGGGCCGGGGGCGGGGCCUUGCGGGACGGGGCUGGCUGCGCCCUCCCCGGCAGGGUCAGGGGGCACCGUCAGACCCUUGGUGCUGAGGCGCGGCGGGCCGGCCAGCCAGAGUGGCCGCUGUCGCCUC
This 824-nucleotide long non-coding RNA is filed under the name Equus asinus (donkey). RNAcentral describes it as "lncRNA (ENSEASG00005025181.1)". The record is from RNAcentral. Lineage: Eukaryota; Metazoa; Chordata; Mammalia; Perissodactyla; Equidae.